GCCUGUGUGCUGUUGUGGUUUGAGUAUUUGAGGCUAGAACUCUGGAGACCAGGGUUCAAAUCCCUGCUCAGUCA
Molecule: non-coding RNA, 74 nt
Organism: Phrynosoma platyrhinos (Desert horned lizard)
Lineage: Eukaryota; Metazoa; Chordata; Lepidosauria; Squamata; Phrynosomatidae
Source: the annotation of a GenBank genome assembly